GCGCGAAAACUUUACAAUGCUGGCAACAGCGAUAAGGGAACCUCGAGUGCCAGGUUACAAAUCUGGCUGUCGAGAUGCCUAAAAAGCAUUUCAUAGCAAGGGCCGGGCAAGACCGGUGCCAGCCGCCGCGGUGACACCGGCGGCUCGAGUGGUAACCGUUAUUAUUGGGUCUAAAGGGUCUGUAGCCGGCCGGAUAAGUCUCUUGAGAAAUCUGGCAGCUUAACUGUCAGGCUUUCAGGAGAUACUGUCUGGCUCGAGGCCGGGAGAGGUGAGGGGUACUUCAGGGGUAGGGGUGAAAUCUUGUAAUCCUUGAAGGACCACCAGUGGCGAAGGCGGCUCACCAGAACGGACCUGACGGCAAGGGACGAAAGCUAGGGGCACGAACCG
This 387-nucleotide ribosomal RNA is filed under the name uncultured bacterium. RNAcentral's name for it is "bacterial SSU rRNA". It matches the Rfam family "Archaeal small subunit ribosomal RNA", at positions 339 to 726 of the family's 1478-position model. The record is from RNAcentral.